This 71-nucleotide transfer RNA is filed under the name Marmota monax (woodchuck). RNAcentral describes it as "tRNA.Ala". The record is from RNAcentral. Lineage: Eukaryota; Metazoa; Chordata; Mammalia; Rodentia; Sciuridae.
GGGGUUGUGGCUCAGUGGUAGAACACUCGCCUAGCAUGCGUGAGGCACUGAAUUCAAUCCUCAGCACCACA